RNAcentral lists this ribosomal RNA (253 nucleotides) under uncultured bacterium. RNAcentral's name for it is "partial 16S ribosomal RNA". It matches the Rfam family "Bacterial small subunit ribosomal RNA", at positions 524 to 776 of the family's 1533-position model. The record is from RNAcentral.
UACGGGGGGAGCAAGCGUUGUUCGGAUUUACUGGGCGUAAAGGGCGCGUAGGCGGCGUGACAAGUCACUUGUGAAAUCUCCGGGCUUAACCCGGAACGGUCAAGUGAUACUGUCGUGCUAGAGUACAGAAGGGGCAACUGGAAUUCUCGGUGUAGCGGUGAAAUGCGUAGAUAUCAGGAGGAACACCGGUGGCGAAGGCGGGUCUCUGGGCCGAUACUGACGCUGAGGAGCGAAAGCGUGGGGAGCGAACAGG